UUGAAGGCAGAGGGAGAGAUUACAAUUCCAGGCAAUUGUAACGCCGAAGGAGCAAGCCGUUGCGGAAGCGGUGAAUCUCUCAGGCAAAAGGACCUCUGCCGGACG
Molecule: non-coding RNA, 105 nt
Filed under: Paenibacillus macerans
Lineage: Bacteria; Bacillati; Bacillota; Bacilli; Caryophanales; Paenibacillaceae
Description: Glycine sequence
Rfam family: Glycine riboswitch aptamer
About the family: This family represents the bacterial glycine riboswitch. Glycine riboswitches usually consist of two metabolite-binding aptamers domains with similar structures in tandem.
Source: Rfam by way of RNAcentral